CAAUAGCGUAUAUUAAAGUUGUUGCAGUUAAAAAAGCUCGUAGAUUGAUGUCUGAUCUUAUAUAUUCGGUCGAGCCCGCAAGGGUUGUGUACUAGAGCAUUAGGGUCAUCUUUGUGAGGAUUUCACUCUGGCAUUAAGUUGUUGGUAUGAAAGGCUUACAUCUUUUUACUGUGAAAAAAAUUAGAGUGUUUCAAGCAGGCGUAAGCUUUUCGAAUACAUUAGCAUGGAAUAAUAAAAAUACGACUCGCGUGGUCUAUUUUGUUGGUUUGCACACGCAAGUAAUGAUUAAUAGGGACAGUUGGGGGAUAUUCAUAUUUGAGCGUCAGAGGUGAAAAUUCUUGGAUCGCUGAAAGAUGAGCUUAGGCGAAAGCAUUUUAUCAAAGAUGUUUUUUCAUUAUUCAAGAACGAAAGUU
Molecule: ribosomal RNA, 413 nt
Filed under: uncultured eukaryote
Lineage: Eukaryota
Description: partial 18S ribosomal RNA
Rfam family: Eukaryotic small subunit ribosomal RNA
Source: RNAcentral